RNAcentral lists this unclassified non-coding RNA (436 nucleotides) under Hevea brasiliensis (rubber tree). Lineage: Eukaryota; Viridiplantae; Streptophyta; Magnoliopsida; Malpighiales; Euphorbiaceae. The record is from RNAcentral.
GGAGAAGCAUGAUUUACCUUUUCCUUAUUCAUCACGGCUUCUUAUUUUAAACUGAAAGUUAUGAACCAUAACAUCUGAGCAAGCUGAAUUUUGUGCUUGGCAUUUCAUUUUACUUUUAUCAUGUCAAUUUAUCUUUAAAAUAUUCCUUAACUUUUUUUCUACUCUUCAUGUUUUCAAAGAACUGAGUUGUCGUAUGCUUGUUAUUACUAGAUAGAAUAUUAACUUGUCUUUAAGUUUUGCCUGCAAGUAAUCUUUGUUUCACAUUUUACAAAAAAUUUGUCUGAUUUUUAUUGGUUUCAUUGUUGUUGCUGGCAUGCAUACUACCAUUGUUAUGAUUUUUCUGCCUACAGUGUUGCAUAUGCAUAUGCUUGUGGUCUGGAACUUGGAUGGCUGCAAAACGGAUAGUCUCUUAUCAUGAUUGAAAAUCUCAUUUUGC